RNAcentral lists this ribosomal RNA (437 nucleotides) under uncultured bacterium. RNAcentral's name for it is "partial 16S ribosomal RNA". It matches the Rfam family "Bacterial small subunit ribosomal RNA", at positions 355 to 808 of the family's 1533-position model. The record is from RNAcentral.
UGGGGAAUAUUGGACAAUGGGCGCAAGCCUGAUCCAGCAAUGCCGCGUGAGUGAUGAAGGCCUUAGGGUUGUAAAGCUCUUUCGCACGCGACGAAGAUGACGGUAGCGUGAGAAGAAGCCCCGGCUAACUUCGUGCCAGCAGCCGCGGUAAUACGAAGGGGGCUAGCGUUGUUCGGAAUUACUGGGCGUAAAGGGCGCGUAGGCGGCCUGUUUAGUCAGAAGUGAAAGCCCCGGGCUCAACCUGGGAAUAGCUUUUGGAUACUGGCAGGCUUGAGUUCCGGAGAGGAUGGUGGAAUUCCCAGUGUAGAGGUGAAAUUCGUAGAUAUUGGGAAGAACACCGGUGGCGAAGGCGGCCAUCUGGACGGACACUGACGCUGAGGCGCGAAAGCGUGGGGAGCAAACAGGAUUAGAUACCCUGGUAGUCCACGCCGUAAACG